RNAcentral lists this ribosomal RNA (600 nucleotides) under uncultured bacterium. Its description in RNAcentral is "bacterial SSU rRNA". It matches the Rfam family "Bacterial small subunit ribosomal RNA", at positions 97 to 686 of the family's 1533-position model. The record is from RNAcentral.
GGCGAACGGGUGAGUAAUGUAUCGGAACUACCUUUCAGUGGGGGAUAACGUAGCGAAAGUUACGCUAAUACCGCAUAUUCUGUGAGCAGGAAAGCAGGGGAUCGCAAGACCUUGCGCUGAUUGAGCGGCCGAUAUCAGAUUAGCUAGUUGGUGAGGUAAAGGCUCACCAAGGCGACGAUCUGUAGCGGGUCUGAGAGGAUGAUCCGCACACUGGAACUGAGACACGGUCCAGACUCCUACGGGAGGCAGCAGUGGGGAAUUUUGGACAAUGGGCGCAAGCCUGAUCCAGCCAUGCCGCGUGAGUGAAGAAGGCCUUCGGGUUGUAAAGCUCUUUCAGCCGGGAAGAAAACGCAUGGGUUUAAUACCCUGUGUGGAUGACGGUACCGGAAUAAGAAGCACCGGCUAACUACGUGCCAGCAGCCGCGGUAAUACGUAGGGUGCGAGCGUUCACUCGGAAUUACUGGGCGUCAAAGCGUGCGCAGGCGGUUCGUCAAAGAUAGGCGUGAAAUCCCCGGGCUCAACCUGGGAACUGGCGGUUCNGGGUGGAACUUGGGCAGGGCCUAANAAAGUAAUGGGGCCCAGNAAGGGGCNGUUGGGAAA